AGUUAAUGGCGUAGGGUACAGAGGUAAGAUGUUCUAUCUUUCAGACCUUUUGUUUCACGUUAUUGGAUUUGGCUGAUUCAGCCGCCCCGGCCAUUUGGCCGGGGCGUUUUUUA
RNAcentral lists this non-coding RNA (113 nucleotides) under Photobacterium aphoticum. Lineage: Bacteria; Pseudomonadati; Pseudomonadota; Gammaproteobacteria; Vibrionales; Vibrionaceae. The record is from RNAcentral.